RNAcentral lists this ribosomal RNA (253 nucleotides) under uncultured bacterium. RNAcentral describes it as "partial 16S ribosomal RNA". It matches the Rfam family "Bacterial small subunit ribosomal RNA", at positions 524 to 776 of the family's 1533-position model. The record is from RNAcentral.
UACAGAGGUCUCAAGCGUUGUUCGGAUUCAUUGGGCGUAAAGGGUGCGUAGGCGGCGCGGUAAGUCGGGUGUGAAAUCUCGGAGCUUAACUCCGAAACUGCAUUCGAUACUGCCGUGCUUGAGGACUGGAGAGGAGGCUGGAAUUUACGGUGUAGCGGUGAAGUGCGUAGAUAUCGUAAGGAAGACCAGUGGCGAAGGCGGGUCUCUGGACAGUUCCUGACGCUGAGGCACGAAGGCCAGGGGAGCAAACGGG